CCGCGGUAAAACGCGUUACUCCUACGGGAGGCAGCAGUGGGGAAUUUUGCGCAACGGGGGAAACCCUGACGCAGCAACGCCGCGUGGAGGAUGAAGUCCCUUGGGACGUAAACUCCUUUCGACCGGGAAGCGGUACCGGUGGAAGAAGCCCCGGCUAACUUC
RNAcentral lists this ribosomal RNA (162 nucleotides) under uncultured bacterium. Its description in RNAcentral is "partial 16S ribosomal RNA". It matches the Rfam family "Bacterial small subunit ribosomal RNA", at positions 314 to 504 of the family's 1533-position model. The record is from RNAcentral.